GCAAACAUGUCUUUGGCUCCUGUUGCCCUCACUGCUCUGCUGCAGAACAAACUCAGUCUCUCUGACUGUGAGUCCCAGCAGAUCUCAGAUGUUUAAAGAUAAGUCUGUCUCUCUGAGCUGUGAGGACGACAGCUCUGCUGGAUGGACUCUGAGGAGGAACACAACCAGAGAAACCAGGACUCAGUGUGGAGAUGGCUGGGGAAAAACUGCUGGUUCUUCCUGUAAAAUCAGCUUCAUGAUUCCAGGGGACAGUGGAGUGUACUGGUG
Perca fluviatilis (European perch) is the source of this 267-nucleotide long non-coding RNA. RefSeq lists it as uncharacterized. The transcript has 3 exons. The record is from RefSeq and is a predicted model, not a curated record. Lineage: Eukaryota; Metazoa; Chordata; Actinopteri; Perciformes; Percidae.